Molecule: long non-coding RNA, 1043 nt
Organism: Heterocephalus glaber (naked mole-rat)
Lineage: Eukaryota; Metazoa; Chordata; Mammalia; Rodentia; Bathyergidae
Source: Ensembl
GGAGCAGGUGGAAGCCCCCCCCCCUCCACUGCCUUCCGCACCCUGCCGUGCCCUGCAUGUGACCGCACGCUGCCAUCAGUGCCCGCUCGUGUGCCCAGUGUGUGUGCACGCGUUUACCUGUGCACACGUGUGUACAUGUGCACGCGUGUGUGUGAAGUCGCCCCUCUCCACUGGCUGCGCUACCCCCUCCAGACCAGCCCCCUUCUGAGGACUCAGGCUCCUGUGCCUGUGAGCUCAGGGUCCUCAGGGUCCUCAGGUCCCCGCAGGCCCGCAAAGUGCUCAUCACUUGGAGAGAGGAUGCUGCGGAGCUGGCAGUUGUGCCCCCUCCUGUGCCCAACAGGAUUCUACACAUUGGAGAAAACAUGCAAUAUUUGUCUUUCUGAGUCUGCCGAACCCGAGCCAUUUGGCUGAACAUGAUGAAGAAUCCCAUGCAUUUCCCUGCACCUGACAUGAUUUCAUUCUUAUUUUGGGCCUAGUUGUGGUCAUUCUUACCUGCAUUUCCUUCAUUGUGGAAUCAGUUUUCCCCCUUGAACAGUUCCUAACUGGGGACUGUGCCUUGCAGGGUCAGUGUGUGUUUGAUGUACCCGUAUAUCCCUUUUCCACAGCCCUCCCACCUCCUCGCCUCUACUCCCCUGUCCCAGUUAAAUCCCUGAUGCUGGGUGUCGAACUCCACUGGCCAUGUCCUGGCUUUGUCUGCCUCCUCCAGAGUCUGCAUUCUGUUUCAUUUGAGUUGGAAACCAAUCAUCCACGUGCUCUGUUUUCCAUAGUCGCCAUCUGCUGCGUCCAUUGAUCUUUCUCCACUUGCAUUUCCUCCUGUUCUUAACCUUUCCAUAAGGUUCAUUUUCUGAUUCUUCAGAGUGCUUGUAACUCUACGUAGUAUUUAUGCAGCUCUUUCUGCAUGUUUAGCUCCAGUGACCACUAAGCAUUCGUUAAAUGAGUAAAUCAUUCUCUCUAUAUUUUCACCUCUAUUUUCCUUUGCUAUUUUUCCUGCCUCUGUGCUCGGAUUUCAGUAAGCUCAAGUCAGCACAAAGAAGAACUUGCCC